This 657-nucleotide ribosomal RNA is filed under the name Priestia aryabhattai. Its description in RNAcentral is "bacterial SSU rRNA". It matches the Rfam family "Bacterial small subunit ribosomal RNA", at positions 54 to 693 of the family's 1533-position model. The record is from RNAcentral. Lineage: Bacteria; Bacillati; Bacillota; Bacilli; Caryophanales; Bacillaceae.
CAUGCAGUCGAGCGAACUGAUUAGAAGCUUGCUUCUAUGACGUUAGCGGCGGACGGGUGAGUAACACGUGGGCAACCUGCCUGUAAGACUGGGAUAACUUCGGGAAACCGAAGCUAAUACCGGAUAGGAUCUUCUCCUUCAUGGGAGAUGAUUGAAAGAUGGUUUCGGCUAUCACUUACAGAUGGGCCCGCGGUGCAUUAGCUAGUUGGUGAGGUAACGGCUCACCAAGGCAACGAUGCAUAGCCGACCUGAGAGGGUGAUCGGCCACACUGGGACUGAGACACGGCCCAGACUCCUACGGGAGGCAGCAGUAGGGAAUCUUCCGCAAUGGACGAAAGUCUGACGGAGCAACGCCGCGUGAGUGAUGAAGGCUUUCGGGUCGUAAAACUCUGUUGUUAGGGAAGAACAAGUACGAGAGUAACUGCUCGUACCUUGACGGUACCUAACCAGAAAGCCACGGCUAACUACGUGCCAGCAGCCGCGGUAAUACGUAGGUGGCAAGCGUUAUCCGGAAUUAUUGGGCGUAAAGCGCGCGCAGGCGGUUUCUUAAGUCUGAUGUGAAAGCCCACGGCUCAACCGUGGAGGGUCAUUGGAAACUGGGGAACUUGAGUGCAGAAGAGAAAAGCGNAAUUCCACGUGUAUCGAUGAAAUGCGUAA